RNAcentral lists this unclassified non-coding RNA (315 nucleotides) under plant metagenome. RNAcentral describes it as "partial contains small subunit ribosomal RNA, internal transcribed spacer 1, and 5.8S ribosomal RNA". The record is from RNAcentral.
UUUCCGUAGGUGAACCUGCGGAAGGAUCAUUAACACGAACAAAAUGUUCCAAAACCUUUUUGGAUCAACGCCAACCUUUGAAAAGGCGAACCUAGUUGUAUUUUUCUCCUUUUUCUAUUUUGUUUUUCUCAAACGCAACUUCUCAUGGAAAUUGACUAGAAUCGUGUGAUUUGUUCCAAUCCUAUCACCUCUUUCUCCUCUCCUCUCCUCUCCUCGUGAGAUGAGGUGGGAUGUGAGAUGGGAGAUGGGGGGUGGGUUUGGAACUAACCAUUCCUAACGCUAAAACAACUCUUAACAACGGAUAUCUUGGCUCUC